Long non-coding RNA from Saccostrea cuccullata (small rock oyster), 1125 nucleotides. RefSeq lists it as uncharacterized. The transcript is spliced from 5 exons. Lineage: Eukaryota; Metazoa; Mollusca; Bivalvia; Ostreida; Ostreidae. The record is from RefSeq and is a predicted model, not a curated record.
ACACAGAGGAUAAAGGAUUUAUCAAGUAAGUGUUUUGUAGUCUUUGUAAUAUAACGUUUUUGAGAGUUUCAUAAUUUCUGAGGUCCCUAAAUGUUUGAACUUUAUGUACAGCAACUUUACGCAUAAUUACUCAACAGUCCUUGCAGGCUAUGUUGUAGUACAGUAUUGUGUCGUAGGCUGUGAACGACGUGCCAGAUCUCUGCUAUGUUGGAUAUUUGUAUAUCAGAAUUACUACUUUUAUUAGGUCUAUUUAUUGUUCAGUUGGUUAUUUGUUUGAGCACUGAAGCCUACCGGUACAUCAGUACUGCUGCCCUACGUACGAUACGGAGAAAAUUCGAAAGUGAAAGUAGAAAUUGUGUACAAGUUAACAAUAACCAUCUCGAAGUUGAAGUUAAACACGCAAUCUGGAAUUCGGUAUCGCAUCUGACUCGAACUUCUGAAAUGGAUCAAAUAGGACUUUGUCGUCGAGACUCGGAAGAACCCAGCUGCCUAAAUUAUAAUGCCAGUGGAACUCAAAACAGAAAAGAUACUUGUAUGCAAGACAUGGAGAAAAGAGCAGACUACAGCCUCUAUAUACCAUUCCGUGUCGCCUCCUUGAAUUGAUGUUUUUCAGGAUAACCAUGCAGGAAUAAAGUUUAUUUAAAAAAUAGUUUACUCAGUAUAAAGUCUUGCUGACAUGAACAUGAUAAUCACAAGAAAGUGAAUAUAUUUCAUCACCUUAAGCAAUCUUCAAAAUACCAGAUUGGAAAAAGAAAGAAGAUUUGUUGCAUUGUAUUGAAUGUGCCUGAUUAAAAGUAUUAAUGGAUGAAUUGGUGUUUUUCUAUUUUCUUCAGAAAAUUUGAAAUCAGAGGCAAUGCUCAGAAUUUUAGAGAUUUUGUUGAAAGAGCUGAUGGGUCCCUUUAUCCUUUUGGAUAUAUUCCAAUUGAAAAGAAAGUGACAUCAGGGAUGAAGUCAACAUGCAAGCCUAGCUUUCUGCAGUGCUACAAGGAAAAGUGCAAAACUGAUGAGCUUCUGGUGUACCUUUAGAGAAUUAAUUAUGAUUACAUGUAGUAUCAGUUAAGCUUCUGCUAUGAUGCAGGAACAUGUAUUUUUCUGGAAGAAUAGGAUGGAUGAUUCCAAAAAUAU